AUACGUAGGUGACAAGCGUUAUCCGGAUUUACUGGGCGUAAAGGGCGUGUAGGCGGUCUUGCAAGUCAGAAGUGAAAUUCCUGAGCUCAACUCGGGCGCUGCUUCUGAAACUGCAGGACUUGAGUGCUGGAGGGGAUAGCGGAAUUCCUAGUGGAGCGGUAAAAUGCGCAGAUAUUAGGAAGAACACCGGUGGCAAAGGCGGAUAUCUGGACAGUACCUGAGGCUGAGGUGCGAAAGCGGGGGGAUCAAACAGGAUUAGAUACCCUGGUUGGCCACGCCGUAAACGAUGAAUACGAGGUUUAGGGGGUAUCGACUCCCUCUGUGCCGCAGUUAACACAAUAAGUAUUCCGCCUGGGGAGUACGGCCGCAAGGUUGAAACUCAAAUGAAUUGGCUGGG
This 397-nucleotide ribosomal RNA is filed under the name uncultured bacterium. RNAcentral describes it as "partial 16S ribosomal RNA". It matches the Rfam family "Bacterial small subunit ribosomal RNA", at positions 523 to 918 of the family's 1533-position model. The record is from RNAcentral.